AUUGGGCGUAAGCGCGCGCAGGUGGUUUCUUAAGUCUGAUGUGAAAGCCCACGCCUCUACCGUGGAGGGUCAUUGGAAACUGGGAGACUUGAGUGCCUAAGAGGAAAGUGGAAUUCCAUGUGUAGCGGUGAAAUGCGUAGAGAUAUGGAGGAACACCAGUGGCGAAGGCGACUCUCUGGUCUGUAACUGGCGCUGAGGCGCGAAA
Molecule: ribosomal RNA, 205 nt
Filed under: Bacillus cereus
Lineage: Bacteria; Bacillati; Bacillota; Bacilli; Caryophanales; Bacillaceae
Description: partial 16S ribosomal RNA
Rfam family: Bacterial small subunit ribosomal RNA
Source: RNAcentral